Molecule: transfer RNA, 80 nt
Filed under: Streptobacillus moniliformis DSM 12112
Lineage: Bacteria; Fusobacteriati; Fusobacteriota; Fusobacteriia; Fusobacteriales; Leptotrichiaceae
Rfam family: tRNA
About the family: Transfer RNA (tRNA) molecules are approximately 80 nucleotides in length.
Source: Rfam by way of RNAcentral
GGCUGGGUGGCGAAAUCGGUAGACGCAGCAGACUCAAAAUCUGCCGAGAAAUCAUAAGGGUUCGAGUCCCUUCCUAGUCA